GGUUUCAAAACUCAAAUGUGCCUCAACUAGCUAAUUGAACAUCUUGUUAUUGGCAGGAUCAAGCGGGGCAGGGGAACUGUUGGGUCACGGAUGGAUGAAGCUGGUCCUUACCUUCCUUCUAGUCCGGAUCCCAGAGAAAAAGAGUCAGCAAGUCCUAAUAUGAAACUAAGCAAAGUACACAAAUAUCAUGCCGUAAUUGGUCAAGAGAAGCCCGACUGGCUGAAUUCUACUGGUUCUUCAGAAAAUAAAUUUCUGCCCAGCAGGCAGCACGACAGUUAAAGUGGCAGCUUCCGAUGGCUUGGCUGAUGGCAAUUCUCCGGGGCUUUCAAGCAUGACUGUGGAUAAUUCUGUUGAGUUCACUUAUGAAGAGCUGGCUACUGCGACUAAUGACCAGCAUUAUAUCCUGCAUACUUUUCAUAUAUGCCAAUCCUAAACACCGAGUCAUGAUUUCACCUCUCCAGUGGAAAGUGGCUAUCAAGAAAAUGGACAUGGAGGCUGUGACGGAGUUUCUAGCUGAAUUGAAGGUCUUGACAAAUGUUCAUCACCUGAACCUGUUGAAGGUUGGAGACUAUCAAGAUUUGUUUCCUAAUAAGGGAAGGUGGAAUUUUAACCAGAAGGUAUGUAUCCUGCUCAACACUUUUUUCUUUCUCCCAAUGUUACUUUGAUUUAAGAAAAUGCCUUUACCAUUUUUUCACUCUGGUAUAAUCUAGUAAUUUUAUUAUUCUGCCAUAUAGUAAAUUAUUGCAACUUAUAAAACUUGUACAUAGCCGAACAGAUCAGUUUUUCUUGUAAAUAUGUUACCGCAUAUGCUGUGAAAACUAGACACCUCGAGCACUUGCCAUUAGCUUAAUAAAAC
Molecule: long non-coding RNA, 856 nt
Organism: Capsicum annuum
Lineage: Eukaryota; Viridiplantae; Streptophyta; Magnoliopsida; Solanales; Solanaceae
Exons: 4
Source: RefSeq, a predicted model, not a curated record